CAGGGAGACAAAACUGAUCAUGAUGUCUGAGCUAUUUAUUCUUAGGCCUUGAUCCUGUCACCUUAGGUCGAUCGGUACCUCAGAUUUAUAGCCAAAAUUAAUUUGAGAAAUCAGAUUAAUUGGUAAUUAAUUUCAGUUCCUAAACUUGUCUAGGUCACACCCAACAAGGGUACUCCUGGGCCAUUAGCUCAGGUGGUUAGAGCGCACCCCUGAUAAGGGUGAGGUCCCUGGUUCAAGUCCAGGAUGGCCCAUUCGGUGUUGGGGGUAUAGCUCAGUUGGUAGAGCGCCUGCUUUGCAAGCAGGAUGUCAGCGGUUCGAGUCCGCUUACCUCCACUGAUUAACUACCUGAUAUUGAAUCCAAAGGAGAUUAUUUUUGUUGGAAGAGUGUGAUUUAGAUGUUGUUCAACUGAUAGAACCUAGCUUCUUAUCAUUCCGGUCUAGAAAUUAGAUUAGGUUGAUAUGACGCUGGGCUCACUGCAAUCCUAUGGAUUCAGCGAUCUCAGUAGAACCUUGACAACUGCAUAGGUGAGUCUGGAAAGAAUAAAGCAUCUCAUGGAUGAAUUUAUUUCACAAUGAAAACCAUUUUUUGUUGUGAAAUAGGUUAAAUUCUUGAGCAAGAGCCGAGACUCUUUAUCGUUCUUUUGAUGCUGUCGAGGCAUUAAAAGUUUGAUUAUUGAUUUAAUUAAAUCAAUAAGAAAGUGCUAACAACACAUAGCGAUUUAGAGGUUAAU
Molecule: transfer RNA, 731 nt
Filed under: uncultured cyanobacterium
Lineage: Bacteria; Bacillati; Cyanobacteriota
Description: partial 16S-23S ribosomal RNA intergenic spacer
Rfam family: tRNA (bases 261-333)
Source: RNAcentral